Helianthus annuus (common sunflower) is the source of this 183-nucleotide non-coding RNA. Lineage: Eukaryota; Viridiplantae; Streptophyta; Magnoliopsida; Asterales; Asteraceae. The record is from Rfam.
UUUGAGGGGAAUGUUGUCUGGCUCGAGGCCACUAGAUGCUUCUCUCUUUAUAUAUCUAUAUAUAUCUUAGUCAACGCAACUAUUGUUUAUCAUCUUUGUUGACAAAUGAUGUUUGUGAAAUGUUUGAUUACUGCGAGAAGUUACUGAUCUGGUGUCGUCGGACCAGGCUUCAUUCCCCCCAAU